Molecule: ribosomal RNA, 588 nt
Filed under: uncultured bacterium
Lineage: Bacteria
Description: bacterial SSU rRNA
Rfam family: Bacterial small subunit ribosomal RNA
Source: RNAcentral
CCUACGGGAGGCAGCAGUGGGGAAUAUUGCGCAAUGGGCGAAAGCCUGACGCAGCGACGCCGCGUGGGUGAUGAAGGCCUUCGGGUCGUAAAGCCCUGUCAGGAGGGAAGAACUCUCGCCGGUCCAAUACACCGGCGACUUGACGGUACCUCCAAAGGAAGCACCGGCUAACUCCGUGCCAGCAGCCGCGGUAAUACGGAGGGUGCGAGCGUUGUUCGGAAUCACUGGGCGUAAAGCGCGUGCAGGCGGCCUCUUAAGUCUGGUGUGAAAGCCCGGGGCUCACCCCCGGAAGGGCACUGGAUACUGGGAGGCUAGAGUACCGGAGAGGAGGGCGGAAUUCCUGGUGUAGCGGUGAAAUGCGUAGAUAUCAGGAGGAACACCGGUGGCGAAGGCGGCCCUCUGGACGGAUACUGACGCUGAGACGCGAAAGCGUGGGGAGCAAACAGGAUUAGAUACCCUGGUAGUCCACGCCGUAAACGAUGGGCACUAGGUGUUCGGGGUUUUGACCCCCCGAGUGCCGAAGCUAACGCAUUAAGUGCCCCGCCUGGGGACUACGGCCGCAAGGUUAAAACUCAAAGGAAUUGACGG